GAAAUACUCCCUCCGUCCGAAAAUUCUUGUCUUAGAUUUAUCUAGAUACGGAUGUAUCUAACACUAAAAUGUGAAUAGAUACAUCCGUAUGUAGACAAAUCUAAGCCAAGAAUAUUGGGACGGAGGGAGUAACUG
This is a non-coding RNA of Triticum aestivum (bread wheat), 135 nucleotides long. The record is from Rfam. NCBI's taxonomy places the organism in Eukaryota, Viridiplantae, Streptophyta, Magnoliopsida, Poales, Poaceae.